This is a long non-coding RNA of Actinia tenebrosa (Australian red waratah sea anemone), 2202 nucleotides long. NCBI's taxonomy places the organism in Eukaryota, Metazoa, Cnidaria, Anthozoa, Actiniaria, Actiniidae. The record is from RefSeq and is a predicted model, not a curated record.
CUCUGAGGUGCCAGACACAUCAUAGCUUAAAAUGUACAUCAAACCUUGUUGAUUUUGAAAAUCGAAAUGAAAAUUCCAUGAAAUGCGUUUUUUGGGGUGAUAUCGUCCGUCAAAGUUGCGAAAUGACUUAAGCUGGGCUCCCUGUGGAAUAUCGCGGAUUUGAUGGCUUGGGAUGAAUGAGGUGUGAUGACGUCAGAUAGUGGAACAUGUUGGAUAACUGGAGCUGAAUCAACCAAAUUUCGCUAUGGAAGUAUGGCUGUUCUUUAUCAAUUUGAGCCGGAAAUUGCUUGAGGAGAAGAAUAUAAUACACCCGAUGAAAGUGUGAGCGAGGACAGUGAGCUAGAAGAAGUGGCGAACGAGGAAAGGCUUCUAGGAAUCGAUGUGGUGUACGUGUCAGCAACUUCAUCUUCACUUCCAUCUUCUUUAAAGCCAGUAUCUUCCUCAUACAUUCCGGGAAGGUAGAUCUUUAAUAUCUUAGAUACCACACAUGCUGAUCUUUUUGCUAAGAUAACCGUGCAUUCACCAUGUAAUUAUAAAUUGGCGAUAUMAGAACUAGCACAACGCAGAGGGCUGAAAAAGCAUUUCAGCGAAAUGAAUAUGCAUUGAACGUAUACGUAUAUGAUAUAGAAAAUACCGGAAAAAGCUCACUUAUUUGGAAUAUAAGAACGUAAUAGAAAAUACUUAAAGAAACUCACUUAUUUGUAAUAUUUGUUCAAUUUGGAAUGAGCCUUCUCUGUCAUGAAGAGAAACUAUUAAAUGCAGUCCUAAGCACAUCUCGGUUCAGACACAAUAGUCGUGAUGCAUGUCAUGUCUAAUAAUUACGUUGAGUUUAACAUCAGAAAAUAUUGAAAUCUUAAGUGAAAUAAAAUGUUUCAUUUACCUCAUAAUCUUUUACCUAAUAAGCUCAUUUAACAACAUAAAAACAUAUCAGCUAGCUGUUUUCAUCACGACACAUUGUUGAUUUUAAGAUCGAUUCCUAGAAGCCUUUCCUCGUUCGCCACUUCUUCUAGCUCACUGUCCUCGCUCACACUUUCAUCGGGUGUAUUAUAUUCUUCUCCUCAAGCAAUUUCCGGCUCAAAUUGAUAAAGAACAGCCAUACUUCCAUAGCGAAAUUUGGUUGAUUCAGCUCCAGUUAUCCAACAUGUUCCACUAUCUGACGUCAUCACACCUCAUUCAUCCCAAGCCAUCAAAUCCGCGAUAUUCCACAGGGAGCCCAGCUUAAGUCAUUUCGCAACUUUGACGGACGAUAUCACCCCAAAAAACGCAUUUCAUGGAAUUUUCAUUUCGAUUUUCAAAAUCAACAAGGUUUGAUGUACAUUUUAAGCUAUGAUGUGUCUGGCACCUCAGAGUCCCUUUAAAGAUGGCGCUCUUUGCUUCUCUCAAAAUGUUUUCAUUUUCUUACCUAUAAAUCGCUAAUGAUGUAAAUAUAAGUUUUCAGUUUAUAAGAUUAUGGAUUAAGAAAGAGUAGAAAGUAUUUUUAGUGCAGAAAGAGCCUAAAGUGAGUCACAUUUUAAGCUUUUGCUCGUCUUGGAUGAUCAUGACGUGAGAACCGAAAUUCAAAGCUUAAGAUCACUGGUGAGAUAAUCUUUUGAGUGUAAUAGAGGCCACAUACCUGACAUGGAUGAUGGUGGUGUCCUUGGGUCCCUGGCUGCUGAUGUUCUUGGUCUUCCUAUGUGGAGGACUGUGGUGUUCUGCUUUGGUUACACAUGCAAAUGAGAUCUAGUUUUCGUUAGACAUUUAAUUAUUUCAAUUUACAGCAUGAAUUCAGGGUAUAACUGUGCCUUCCCCAGACUCUAAUUGGCUUAAAAUCCUCCGAAUAACUCCCACAGCAAAGAACUAAUAAGAUUCAAUAAAUAUGUAACUGAGAUAUAUAUGACGCUGUUACAUGAUCUUCGUAGAUAAAUUUAUUUACAAAGAGAAAUAUAUGAUUUUCCAAGUUUAUAGGCUUAAGAUUUUCAUAUAGUUUUGUAAAUGUUUUUUAUAGGCUUUUCCUAUUUUUACAUCUAAUAAAUGGCCUAACUAAACUAAGUGUAUCAACUAGGCGUUGUGUGCUGGUAUAUUUAUCAUUAUAAAGAAGUAUUAUGGUAGGUGUUGAAAAUAAUGUUUUUUCUAAUUGGUAUUUGUCUAGAUCAUUCUAAAAUUAAAGAGAAUUUUGAAGUUGAUAAUUUUUGCACUGACGACAUAAUUAUGUGAUACAUCAAG